RNAcentral lists this ribosomal RNA (237 nucleotides) under uncultured bacterium. Its description in RNAcentral is "partial 16S ribosomal RNA". It matches the Rfam family "Bacterial small subunit ribosomal RNA", at positions 118 to 354 of the family's 1533-position model. The record is from RNAcentral.
UGAGCAACCUGCCCCGAAGACCGGGAUAACACCGGGGAAACCGGUGCUAAUACCGGAUGCCCUCAUCAUGUCGCAUGGCGAGAUGAGGAAAUGGAUUCCGCUUCGGGAUGGGCUCGCGGCCUAUCAGCUUGUUGGUGGGGUAAUGGCCUACCAAGGCGACGACGGGUAGCCGGCCUGAGAGGGUGACCGGCCGCACUGGGACUGAGACACGGCCCAGACUCCGUACGGGAGCAGCAG